GACGAACGCUGGCGGCGUGCCUAACACAUGCAAGUCGAGCGAGUGAAUCUCCUUCGGGAGUGAAGCUAGCGGCGGACGGGUGAGUAACACGUGGGCAACCUGCCUCAUAGAGGGGAAUAGCCUUCCGAAAGGAAGAUUAAUACCGCAUAAGAUUGUAGCUUCGCAUGAGGUAGCAAUUAAAGGAGCAAUCCGCUAUGAGAUGGGCCCGCGGCGCAUUAGCUAGUUGGUGAGGUAACGGCUCACCAAGGCGACGAUGCGUAGCCGACCUGAGAGGGUGAUCGGCCACAUUGGGACUGAGACACGGCCCAGACUCCUACGGGAGGCAGCAGUGGGGAAUAUUGCACAAUGGGGGAAACCCUGAUGCAGCAACGCCGCGUGAGUGAUGACGGCCUUCGGGUUGUAAAGCUCUGUCUUCAGGGACGAUAAUGACGGUACCUGAGGAGGAA
Molecule: ribosomal RNA, 446 nt
Filed under: uncultured bacterium
Lineage: Bacteria
Description: bacterial SSU rRNA
Rfam family: Bacterial small subunit ribosomal RNA
Source: RNAcentral